This 253-nucleotide ribosomal RNA is filed under the name uncultured bacterium. RNAcentral's name for it is "partial 16S ribosomal RNA". It matches the Rfam family "Bacterial small subunit ribosomal RNA", at positions 524 to 776 of the family's 1533-position model. The record is from RNAcentral.
UACAGAGGUCUCGAGCGUUUUUCGGAUUCAUUGGGCGUAAAGGGUGCGUAGGUGGUUGCGUAAGUCUGGUGUGAAAUCUCGGGGCUCAACCCCGAAAAUGCAUUGGAUACUGCGCGACUCGAGGACUGUAGAGGAGAGAGGAAUUCACGGUGUAGCAGUGAAAUGCGUAGAGAUCGUGAGGAAGACCAGUUGCGAAGGCGUCUCUCUGGGCAGUUCCUGACACUGAGGCACGAAGGCCAGGGGAGCAAACGGG